GCAGCCUGAAGUCCAUCCGGGCUCUCUGAUACUAGUGCGAGGUCAUCCGCGUACAUUAAACAACUAAGAGGUUUAUCCCUAAGGUGAACAGGGUUGUAUUUUUCAUUGUUGCUGAACAGGUCGGGAAUGUCCCUAAUAAAAAUGUUAAACAGUAAGGGACUGAGGACGCAGCCCUGUUUGACACCUACACUUGUAUUGAUGACGUUUGUCAGUCCCCCUGGUGUUUUUACAGUAAACUGGACAGAUUUAUACAUAUUACUUAUUAUAUUUAGAAAGAGAUUUCCUACCCCUGCCAGCUGUAGUUUAUAUAAUAAGGCAUUUCUCCAUACUGUAUCGUAGGCGCUUGAAAAAUCUACGAAACAUACAUAUAGUUUAUUUUUAUCCAUUUUAUUUAGGUAUUUAUCGAUGAGAGAUUUGAGUACUAGCAUAUGGUCGACUGUACGUGCCCCUCUUUUAAAGCCGAUUUGAUUAGUAGGGAUCGUGCUAUUUUUAAAAGUAAAUGAUGUGAGUCUAUUAUUAAGUAUUUUGCAAAAUAGUUUACAUAAGUUACUGGAUACAGCUAUCCCUCUAUAAUUUUUGGGGUCUUUUUUAUCCCCUUUCUUGUGAAUAACAUUGAGCAUACUCACUCUCCAGAGGGAGGGGAAGUUACCACUGGAGAAGAUAGCAUUGAACAGUUUAGUGA
This is a long non-coding RNA of Lingula anatina, 682 nucleotides long. The record is from RefSeq and is a predicted model, not a curated record. NCBI's taxonomy places the organism in Eukaryota, Metazoa, Brachiopoda, Lingulata, Lingulida, Lingulidae.